GGCCAGACAAUUAUUGUAAAUUGAGCUGCAAUUAACAUAUAGGAAAAUAAGGCUCAAAUAAGAGGGGAUUUCACAUAAUGGUUUGAAAGUAAACAAAGUUUGAAAGAAUGAUUAAAAAUGAUGACUUUUAAAAGAAGUAGGUUAAAUGCUAAAAGAAAAGAAAUAAAGAACAAAGGGAAGGGGUCCUAGGUUUAUUAAAAAUAUGGAUCACCCCACACAAUCUCUGGUAAUCACUACUCAAUGAGGGGCUACACGUGACAUUAUUGCGUGGUCAUCAUAUCUAUAUCUACCCUUCCCACCCUGUUAAGGUAUUUAAAGCACAGAUUGGUCUCGAUUACAUAUUGCAUGUCAUUAUCUAUCCCACUCCUAUCAGUCCCGGAGGCACUUUGGACAACUAAUUCUAAGAAGGGAGGGAUAUUAGGAUUAUGUGAAGUUUUAAAGGUAAAAAUUCUAAAGCGACAUACAAAAACACAUAUUCAUGUUAAAGGAAAUAUAUGAACAAACAAAUGCUCAAAUAUUCCUCCUUAAACAAAGAAUGCAUGUAAUUAGCAUGUCUAAUCACUUCUCAAUGAGGGGCUACAUGUGACAUUAUCGUAUGGUCAUCAUAUCCAUAUCUACCCAUCCCAUCCUGUUACAGUAUUAUAGCGAGGAUUGGUAUCGAUUACUUAUUGCAUGCUAUUACCCGUCCCACUCUUAUCAGUACCGGAGGGACUUAGGACUAUUAAGCUUAAGGGAGGGAUUUUAGAUUUCUUUGAGGUUUCAAAAGGUAAAACUCUAAGGCGACAUACAAAAAUAUAUAUUGCACAAUUUUAGGGAGGCAUAUAAACAAACAGCGGCUCAGGUAUACCUCCUUGAACAGAAAAACAUAUAAUUAGCAUGACUUUCACAUACUUUUUAGUCUGAACAAAAUUAAAGAUGAGUGAGUUUAAAUGUGAGGCAGACUAGUUUAUUACAUAAUUCAUAUAAGAAGCCCAAAUCACGCCUGUGUGCUGCUUGUAAUAAUUUACAGAUUCAUUUUUAAUUAUUACUCUAACGCUUGCCUAAGUGUUAAGACGGGGUCCUAUAGGCAUGAUAACUACUAAAUUAAGAAAGCAAUAAGACAUUAAAACUCGAAACAAAUUAUUUGAAAUCCUAUAUGCACACUUGUUAAACUAGUUAAGUGAAAGACUCGAUUAUUAAAAGAGAAGUACAAAUUAAACGAAUUGAUUACAAGUUCUACAACUGAUGAUAUCCAUUAUUACUGAUUCUUAGAUGGACUCAGAUUAUUAAAAGAGAAGUAGAAAUUAAAUGAAUUGAUUACACGUUCUGCAACUGAUGAUAUCCAUUAUUACUGAUUCUUAGAUCUGGCACUGAGUGAAGUGAAUCAUGUUGAUUUAGAAACUCUUAUAGGUAUGUUCUCUAUGUGUUGCUAAUUUUAGACACUUAUAGACAUAGCAUCUGGGUGCAUAACUUGUUUUACACCUUAUGAGCAUGAUAUUUUAAUGCAACACUUGUCUUAAAAAUUAUAAGCAUGAUAUCUGAAUGCAGAACUUAUUUUAAAACUUAUAAAUAUGGUAUCUAAAUGUUGUUUGAAUUAUGCAGAAUUAUAGAACCCUAUAUGCAUGAUUUCUAGGUGGUAGUUUGAAUAUGUAGAAUUAUAACAUCACUACAGGCAUGAUUUCUACAUGUAUUGAGUGUGAAAAAUUAGAAUUGACCUAUAGGCAUGAUUUUUAGCCUUUGCAUGCAUAGUUAUCUACCAUGUUUUCAUAGCCAACCCCCAAGAGUUUAUUACAACCCAAAAAUAAAUUACAUAAAAAAGUAUAAAGGAAAUUACAACCAAAAGAAAGCCUGAUUCUGACUUCCUAUUUGAACUAUGAGAUAGACCAACUCAAAGACCACUGAUCCAAAGCCUUUGUCCAAUUUGAGUGUGUCAGAGUUCCCUAAGAGCCUCAAUAGGACUCCAGCACGUGCUCACACCUAAAUUGCAUCACCAGAAUAGGGACAAGCACAGCGUGGAAGGUACAACUCUCAAGUGUCCAAGUUAGAGGGAGCUCAAUGGGUCUCAAGGCAAGGAUCACAAGAGGGGAGCAUAACUUAAAGUCUAAGAGAGAGUGCAAGUGAAGAAACAUAAUUUUAAAGAAUUAAGAAAGUAAAGAAGAGGGGGAGAUGUGCUGGGAAGCAACCAUAAAAAAGUCAUACAAAGGGUUCAGGGGUUGGGGAAAUUGCAUUAGCUAAUUUUAGAUAUGCACAACAAUAGAGAGUGUUGUUAUGCUCACAGAAUCAACAAGAAUACACAUCAUAUGAUAGUGACAUAGAGGUUAUGAUUCCAGGGGAAUCAAGUUUGAGCCAUAGACAACAAUACUCAAUACUGUCAUCCCUCCAACAAAUCAUUAGCAUCAAACACAUUGGGGUAGGGGGUUUGUGAUUCAUAAUAUGAGGAACUUAUAACAUGCUAGAGUAAACACUGAACUAAACACAAGCAGUAGGCAGACAUGCAAGAAAAUGUAUUAAGUAAACACAUUGUUUGUGAUUGGUAAAAAUCUUUAUCAGGACAUACCAGUUUCAAGGAAGCAAAAUACAGUAAAAAAGCAGUAGCAGGGCUUGAGAAACAGGCCACAGUACAAGUAAUAAGAGAGAAUGCCUUUUGAAUGUGAGUGUGAGUUCAAAAAACUAAGAGCGUUCAUGUGUGUUUGUGUCAAUGAAAUAGCAUGGUAUUUAUAGUUUGAAAAUAGGUAGAAAGCAAAGUAAGAAAAUAAUUAUGAAACUACAUAUCAAUUUAAAAUCAAUCAGUAUCAAAGACUUUCUUUAAUCAAUGAGUUAAAACCAAAGGGUAGUGGACAUAAGACUUUUAAGGAAAGGAAUCAAGUAAGCAUCUUGUGCAAAGUAGCAAUUAGGGGUAAGUACAUAGAGGUUUAAUUAAGGGAAGAAUCUUUGAAAUACUCGGUUAACCAAAUAAGGUAAGAAACACAAUAAGUUUGUAGAAUAUGGAGACAAUCAACACAUAGUAAAUCAAAGAGUCAGGAAUUUAAAAUUACUGAUUUGGGGAGAAUGACAUGGGCUCCCAUGAAUAAGCAAAUAAACCAAGAAAAGACAAGAUAAUCGAAAGCCUAAAGGGAGGUUUUCAAAUCAAUCCAAGAAACAUGGAAAUCAAUAAAACAAGGAAAGAACUAAUUAAUUAACACAUGAGUGCAAUUAAAAUUACACAAGGAGUAAUUUGAAAUCAGUCCACAAUUAAAGGUAUAAGGUAAAGUUGUAGAACAUAGAAGCAAUCAGUACGUACUAAAUCAAGGAAAAUUACUGAUUCAUGAAUAAACAAAAAAACCGAGUCAGAAAUAGGAGAAUUGAAAAGCUAAGGAAAGCUUUCAAAUCAAUCCAAGAAACAGGGAAAUCAGUAAGGUGAAACAAGGAAAGAGGCAAUCACUUAACACUUGAAUGCAAUCACAGUUACACAAGGAGGCCUAAAACCAAUCCCCAAAUUGAGGGUCAUUUCAUAGGGAAAUCAACAUGUAAAAGAGUUCAUAGGUAUUAGGCAUGCAAGGAUGAAUUUAAUACAAAGAGAAGUGUCAUGCAAUCACCAAAUCAGUAAGUAAUGUACUAUGAAAACAUGGUAGUCACAUAUGUCAAAUCCUUGUAACUCAGUAAUAGAGAAAAGAGAGUAUCAAAUAGCAUGCAAAGGGUUCAAGUAAAAACUCCUUUCUGUAAAUAUAGUCGAGUUCCAAUGAUAGUAGGAAAUCGAACUCACAUAAAGCAACAGAAGUUGAAACAAAGAUCUCGAAAUCUAGUCGAGGAACAUAUGAAACAACCUUAGAAACUCAAUUAGGUCAAAAGAAAUUAGGGUUAUGAAACCGAACAAGUUCAGGGAUGAGGAACAAGAAAAUCACAUAGCAAAUAAUCACAAAACUCGAAUGAACCCCAUAUUUUAGGGUUUUCACCAUCAAUCGAGUAUAGAGAUGAAAGACAAGAGAAUCACAUAGCAAAUAGUCUUCAAAAUCGAAUAAACCCCAAAUUUUUGGAUUUUCACCAUCAAUCGAGUUAUAGAGAUAAAACCAAUUGAAUUAGACAAACAUUUUAACAAAUAGAUUCAGGAAUUUCAAAAGGUUAAGACCCUUAACAUGCAAACUCAAAUAGACCGAUGACAUAAGAGAACACGAUAAAACGUGUUAAAAAUUAGAGAAAACUUCAAAAGAUAACUUAACGAACCCUAAGCCAUAGAACUGAAAGCAUCCGAGGUCUAGACCAAGCUUCUUCAAGGUCUGGCCUUGAAAGCAUAUCACUCAAACAUAUAUGAGUCAUAGGAGGCAGAUGUAUGCCUUUAAUGGCUUUGGAAGCUAUUGAUUCGGGCGAUUUUAGGGUGGAAGUGGAGGGAGGCAGCUAGGGUUUCUGAGAGAGAAUUGGGUGAAGGGGAGAUUCAAGGGCGGCUAUCGGUGAGAAGUGAUUGGGUUUUGGGGUAAUAGGAAUUUAAAAAGGAAAAGUUAAAUUGUGGCCGUUGAUCAUUUUGAUUAACGACUUGGAUUGAAUGGUUAUUCGGGUGGGUUAUUAUAAAAGGGUUGUGGCUCGGGUAGAAUAGGGUUUGGGUGAGGGUAAUUGGGCCUCAGGCUGGGUUACAUUGAGGUGCCAAAUCUGGCCAAAAUUGAAAUACAAAUGGGCUACCAUUUAAAUAGCCACUUUUUUCCUUAUUUAUUUUAUAAAAGCUAGUAAAAUAAAUUUAGAAAUAAAUUAAAAGUACUAAAAUGGUUAAUAAUACAUAAUUAUUAAAUUAAAAUAUUGGGGUUAAUUUUAUAUAUACUAACACAAUUAAAUCUUAAAAGAGGCUAAUAUUGCAAGUAUAUGCAGUUUAGUUUUUAAAACACUAAACAAAUUUACAAAAAUAUGAAAAAUUAUGUUAGCUAUAUUUAAAAUAAAUAUGAGAAUUCAAUAAAUGAAUCACCAAAAUGAUAAUUUUGGAGAUAAUUAUUGGGUUUGUCCUUGAUAAAAUAGGGCAAUAAAUUGAUUAAAAAUCUUUAAAAAUUAAGAAAAAAAUAAUAAAACCUUAGGACAUGCUUAUAUAUGAAGAUACAUGCUAUUUUGAAAGUAUUUUGUAUGUUAAAAUUUACAGGAAAAUAUUGGGUAUCAAAAACUUUGUGUAGGUAAAAUACCCUUUAGGAUUUGAGUCGUUUGUUUUAUUUGUGUUAUGUGAAAGCCGUGUACGUGAGGUGACGAUGACUCGGCUUAUAUGUGCAAAAUUGACUAGCGUAGAUUCUUAGGCUUCUUUCAUGUACUUAUUUGGAAUUGUUAUAUCUUUUAUUUGUCAUGUCUACUAUCACAUGUUUUAUUUGAAGUUGUCGUUACAUGUCACAUUCUUUACUUGUCGAGUUUGCUUAUAUAUGCUUUAUUUGAAGUUGUUAUCACUUUUAUCAUCAUGCGAUUUCUUUUAUUGUGGAGUUACUCUUAGUUUAGAUUGUUGUUACAUGAUGUCCUUUUGUUGCCGGUUUAGUUCGUGCCAUCUCUUUCGUUGUUAGCCUAUUCAUACACUAGAAUCCGAAGUUUGCCAUUUCACAGAAAUAAUUUCACUAUUGAGUUUAUCCUUAAACAAUUAAUUGAGGUUAUUGCUUUUAAUUGAAGUUGUGUUUAAAGGGGAUGUUGUUCCUUAUUGAGUUACUUUCCCGUCAUUUUGUUUAUUGAGAUUCUAUAAACAUUUUGUUGAGCCCUGGGCUAUUUGUUAUGAAAAUAUUGACAUUGUUGGAUCUUUAGAAAGGUUUUGGUCUAUUGACACUUGUGAUACAAGUUGAUAUGUCAUGUUGUUGUGAUAUUAGCACAUGUGAAUUAUUGUGUGGUUUGGUUGUUGUUAUGAAGAGUAUAAGGGUGGCAUUUUACUGUUGUCGUUAUAUUGGGAAUAAGGGUGGCAUAUCAUUAUUGUUAAAUGUAUGAAGUGAUUAAGGGUGGCUAUUAUUCUAUUGUCCGGGUGGCUAAUGAUAUUGCCAGGGCGGAGUGAUACGGGUGGCUAUCGGGGAGAUAAGGGUGGGAAUGUCAGGGAUGAUGUGUGAUGGCUUGGGGACAUUGUGUUGGUGAUUUUUAUGUGAUGGUGUACUUUUCCUUAUUUAUGUUAUACACCUUACGUGAUUUGUUGUGUUACUUUGAUAAGCUACUCGAUGUCUUUGAUAUUACUUGUUGACUUGGACUACAGUAGUAAACUUGCACAAGCAUACACCGUAGCAUGGCACUUAUACUAGCUCUGGAGUAUGAAACAUGACUUUUGAUAAUCAUGCCCAUGUGUCAGUUUUCAUGUUGAUAUUGAGCUUGUGACCACGCCGGGCGAAUUGUGAUUAUGAGCCUUGUGACCAUGCCGGGCGGAUUGUCAAUGUGAGCUCGUGAUCAUGUUGGGUGGAUUGAGAUAUUGGAAUCUGAGUUGUCUGUGUGGUUGUGCUUGAAAUGCGAGAAUAAGUUGUCGUGAGCAUAUGAUGGUGGGUUGAGACCCGUGACUUGUGAUUAUGAUAUGAGAUAUCACAGAGUGAUCUCAUUGAGAAACUAGGGUUAGAACGACUUGAUUAAUUUGUUUUCCUUUGUGUUUCAUAUUUUUUUUAACGAUACUUUACAAUGUUCUUAUUGUUUUACUUUUUAUAUCACUUGUUGAUUCGUGUUGCCAUAUACUUAUUUGUGCUUUCAUUAUUAGCUUUAUAAUUCUAUACUGCACAAAUUGUUUUGUCUACUUCUGCAAGAGGUCGGGGCCGAGGUAGAGGCUGGGGAGGAGCACACGCUGUAGCUAGAGAACCUGCUAGAGUAAUAGUUGAGGAGUCGCCAGUAACUUCAGUUGGGGGACAAGCACUUGUUGUUACCUCCGGUUUCAGUAGACUUUAGUGCAGUUCCUGAGCUUGUUUGGUAAAUUGGCUCAUCUAGGAUUGAUCUCCGUUCCACUAGCUACUUUGCAGAUUAGGAGAGGAGCUUGGACUCUCACCGUCCGUACUCCAGAGCAACGAGCUCACAUUAUUCAGGUUCCGUGUGUGUUGUCGGUACAACCUGUUAUUUUGGUUCAGCCUAAUGUCAAGCCAGGGGCAUCAGAAGAAGAGAAAAAGAGGCUUGAGAUGUUCAUGAGGUAUAGUCCACCUACUUUCAGUGAAACAGCUAUCGGGGAUGCACAAGAAUUUCUAAAGAAGUGUCACCGUAUUCUCCGCACCAUGGGUAUUGAGGAGGUGAACGGAGUUGCUUUUACAAUAUUUUAUCUGUCGGGAGCAACAUAUCAGUGGUCGCAAGUUUAUGAGGUAGAUCCAGCCGAUUCAAAACCACUCACUUGGGCUCAGUUUUCAGAGAUGUUUUUGAGGGAGUUUGUUCCCAGACCCUCCGAGAUGCAUAGCAUAUAAGUUUGAGAAGCUGCAUCAGGGCACCAUGAUGGUGUUAGAUUAUGCCAUCAGGUUCAGUGAGUUAUCCUGUCAUACACCUACUUUGGUUCCUACAAUUAAAGAGCGAGUUCACAGAUUCACUGAGGGACUCAGUUACGAUCUUAGAUUCAGCAUGGCACGGGAGACUGAUACUCCAUUUCAGUAGGUGAUAGAGAUAGCUAGGAUGUUACAGCGUAUUUGGCGUGAAUUAAGGGAGGAUAAAAAGACCAAGAGUUCUCGAGCUUCUGGAGGGUUUAGUGGAUUCUGUUGUUCAUCUAUGACCUAUAAAGGCAAGGCUCGAGUAGUCGGCUAGUCCAGUCUGCACUUGAGACUAUUCAUAUUUCUCAAGUUUGUUCUUUUAGUGUACCACCGGCACAGGGUUCCUACAACUGUAAUUCCAGUUAUCUAACACAGACUCAGUAUGGGCAGCCACACCCAUAGAGGGGUUGUUAUAAGUGUGGUGAUGCUAGGCACAUUAUGAUAGAUUGUCCGAGACUGGGAGGGGCUGAUUUUAUCAAAGCACUCAGGCUACGGGCUCCAUUCCAGGUUCUACUCCACCUGUAUAGCUAGUUAGGGGUGGAGGAUAGGCGGGUACAUAGUGCCCUAUAGGGAGAGGCCCGACCCAUUGAUAUGCUUUCUAUGGUAUGGCUGAGGCCGUUGCACCAAAUGGUGUCGUUAUAAGUAUGUUUUCAAUUUGUUAUUGUUGCAUGUUGUUUUCUCUUAUACGCGGGCGACAACCCUUUUAAAUAGUUAUUAAAAGAGAAAAGUCGCCACCUAACAAACGUUUAAGGUGCGUUAGGGCACAAAUUUUCUAAUCUUUGUUUGACUAGUCAAUACCACCAAAGAUUGGACAAAGGCUUAAAUUACCUCAAAGAAAAGGUGUUAGGCACUCUUCGAGGUCCACAAGUAUAGGUCCCCGCCAAACUUUAGACUGUGGAUUAUGAUACUAGACUAGAUGAUCAAACAAAUAGAAGGGAAAUUUAAAAGUUGUACAGUUUUAUUAAAACAUAUGAGAAUCGGUACAAGUCUUAAUAACUACAAAUAUACAACCUAUAUUGAUCUAUGCUAAAUGACUAAGUGCACAUGAAAAAAUGGGGGAGGGGGGCGGUCCUAAGUUUUUUAGCCUUAAGGAUCAUCCCCUGCAACAUAAAUAAUACUUCGCAACUCCCUUAAGGUAGAGGUUGUUCGUAUUAUUCAGGGGGCACAUACUAUCAUCUCCUGCUACCCGAUUACUAUGUUGAAGUUAUUUACCUAAAGGCGUUCUAGUUCAAUUCUAAGUCGUACCCAAUGCAUAUACUACAUGCCUCAUGCCUACGGUCUAUGAGGCUUUGGACCCACCAUUAGGUGGUUCUAGACUUUACUUAGUUUUAUUAAAAUAUUAAAACUAGUCGACAUUCAAAACAUAUAGGAUUGCAUACAAUAGCAAUAAAAGGCUCAAGUUAACCUCCACACAUAAGCACGAAAGCACGCAAUCAAAGUUCUGGCUAAGCAGUAGACCGAAUUAAGACAUAUUAGUUCAUUAAGUCCUAUAGGCGUGAUUUCUAUAUAAUUCUAUUAUUAUACAGGAAGUACUGUAAUUUCUGGACUAAUGUAUAGGCAGAUUAGAGCGUUACAAGUUCUACAGACGUGAUUUCUGAUCGUUUGUGUUAUAAGGUAGUGAAAUCAAUCCUAGAACACUGAAUUACCAGUGUUUAUUUUAUAGAUAUACAUCUUAGGUAGGUGACAGUACCAUAUAGACAUGAUUUCUAAUAGUCGCAUAAUUAGGUAGUGAAGUCAUUUGAAAACACAUGAUUAGUAGCGUCAAUAAAUACCCUAUAGGAAGGAAUUCUAAUAAUUGACAAUUAGACCUGAUUUUAUAACACUUUAUCCCUAUAGUCAUGCUAUCUAAGUGAGGCAACAAUAUGAAGCAAUUGAUUAAUUAUUAAACCUUAUAGCCAUGGUGUCUAGAUUAGCAAAGGUAUUGCAUUAUUGUAGCAUAUAUGCAUGUUAUCUAAGAGCGUUGAAUAGUACACAUGGAAGGGGGUGUUGUUCCUUGUUGAGUUAAUUUCCCGUUCAUUUUGUUUUUAUUGAGAUUCUAUACACAUUAUGUUGAGCCAUUGGCUAUACGUUGUGAAAAUAUGGAUAUUGUUGGAUCUUUGAAAAGGUUGUGGCAUAUGGGUGCUUGUGAUACUAGUUGAUAUGUAGUGUUAUUGUGAUGUUAGCACAUUUGAAUUGUUGUGUGGUUUCAUUGUUGUUAUGCGGAGUAUAAGGAUUUUAUCAUUGCUGUUGUGUAGGGCAUAAGGGUGGCAUCACUAUUGUUGAAUGUACGGAGUAAUAUGGGUGGCUAUUGUGUUAUUAUUGGGACGAAGCGAUAAGGGUGGCUAUUAUACAAACUGGUACGGGUAGUAGCUAUCGGAAUGAUACAUGUGGCUAAUGAUAUUGUCAGGGUGGAGUGAUACGAAUGGCUAUUAUACGGAGUGAUACAGGUGUCUAUCAGAGCGAUACAUGUGGCUAAUGGUAUUGUCAAGGCAGAGUGAUAUGGGUGGCUAUCGGAUAGAUAAGGGUGGGGAUGUUAGGGACGAUGUGUGAUGUCUUGGGGACAUUAUAUUGGUGAUUUUCAUGUGAUGGUGUGUUUUUCCUUGUGUGUGUCAUGCACCUUAUAUGAUUUUUUGUGUUUCUUCGAUAAGCUACUCGAUGUCUUUGAUAUUACUUGUUGACUUGGGCUACAAUAGCACACUCGCACAAGUAUAUACCGUGCGUGACACUUAUUCUAGCUCAGGAGUAUGAAACUUGAAAUUUAUUAAUCAUGCCCAUGUUUUAUUGUAUUAUCAGUUUUCAUGUUGUUAUUGAACAUGUGACCUUGCCGGGUGAAUUAUGAUUAUUAGUCUGUGAUCAUGCCGGACGGAUUGUGAUUGUGAGCUGGUGAGCACGUCGAGCAGACUGUGAUUGUGCGCCUGUGAGCACUCCGGAUGAAUUGUAAAUGUGAGCACAUGAUCAUGCCGGGCAGAUUGAGAUAUUGGCACGUGAGUUUGCCAUGCAGAUUGUUAUUCGAAAUGUGGGAAUAAGGUUCCAUGAGCAUAGAAUGGUGGGUUGAGACCUGUGAGUUGUAAUUAUGAGAUGAGGUAUUACAGAGUUAUUUUAUUAUGAAACUUGUGUUAGAACGGCUUGAUAAAUUGGUUUUCCUUUGUGUUCCUUAUUUGGUGUUAACGAUACGUCGCAAUGUUCUUAUUUCUUUACUAUAUUACUUGUUGAUUCUUCUCGCCAUUUAUUGAUUUUUACCUUCAUUAUUAGCUUCAUACUUCUAUAUUGCACAAAUUAUGUUGCCUAGUGAGUGUAUUGACUUGUACCUCGUCACUACUCCACCGAGGUUAGUCUUGACACUUACUAGAUACUGACCGUGGUGUACUCAUACUACACUUCUGUAUAUUUUUGUGCAGAGCCAGGUGUUAUAGAUAUUAGACUCGGGCAGAGUAGGCAUACUAGUCACUACGUAGAGCUGCUUGGUCGUCGCAGUCUCGUAGAGGUCUUUCCUUUUAUUGUACUCUCAGCUUGUUAUUUGAACAAUAUUAUAUUUCGAUCUUUGAGAUCUUUCCAUGUACUUAGCUGGAGUUCGUGACUUUGUAUUACCAUAUCUUGUGAGGUUGUUAUGAUUAUUAUUGUGUAGGCUUAUAACACUUUUCUUUCAGUAUUCAUUUUAGACUCUGUUUCAAAUUAUCCUUGUUAAAAGUUUGCCUAAUCGUUGUUACUAAUCAACUUACCUAGUCUUAGAGACUAAGAGACAUCACGACGCCUACGGUGGGUUUUUGGGUCGUGAUAACAAGGUACUAGAUGCCCUAUCAAGAAGGCAAGAAGAUAGGCCUACAUUAUGCUCCAUUACAACUACUAAGCCUACACGGAUGCAAGAGAUAGGUCGAGAAGUGUUGUUUUGUGUUUCAUAUAACUGACACUAGUUGUAUGAGGUUCCUUUUUGUCUCAAAAAUUUAUGGACCCCAAUCUUAUACUUCUGGGUCCACAAAACUGUAAGACAAAAAAGUUGCCUCAUACAACUAAUGUUAGUUGUAUGAGACACAAAAUAAAAAUUUUCGAGAUAGGUCAGAGUUAUGAGCAUGACAUUGUAGUACUACAACACUACAGCUACUGACUGAGCUAAUCACCCUAUGAGCAAUUCAAAAUGUAUGUUACAUCAAGUAAUUAUUCGGUAUGAGUAGAUGAUUUGGGUUGGCAAGGGUAUAGACUUUGAGAACCAAAAUAUUUGUAGCCCUCAAUUAGUCUUCUUUGGGAGGCCAUUCUGGUCAGUUAGGCACCUACAAGAGGAUUAAAAUGGUAUUUUAUUGGCCUAAUAUGAAGACUGAUGUCCUUAAGUGGGUUUCAUAAUGUGACAAUUGUCAAAGAGUUAAGAAUGAGAAUGUACAUUCUCCUAGGUUGUUACAACCCCUUCCCAUCCAUGACAUGCCUUGGCAGGAUAUUGCCACGAAUUUUGUAAAAGGUUUACCUUCUUUAGGGCAGAAGGAUGCUAUUCUUGUGGUGGUUGGCAGGCUAACCAAAUAUGGGCAUUUCCUAGCUUGGAAAAACCUUUUACAGCUGAGGAAGUAGUUGAGUUGUUCCUUAAAGAGAUUUAUAGGCUACCAAAUCUAUUAUAACUAACAGAGAUUCCAUUUUUACUAGUUAAUUCUGGCAACAACUUUUCAAAGUUAUAGGUAGUAAACUCAAUAUGACUACUUCCUAUCUCCCACAGUCAGACGGGCGAACAGAGAGGCUCAAAAAAUGUUUAGAAUCCUACCUCGGAGCUAUGGCCUCUAAUACUCCUCAGAAGUGGCUUAAAUGGCUUCCUUUGACCGAAUGGUGGUACAACACUAAUUACCACAGAGCACCAUAACUUUCACCCUUUCAGGCUCUUUAUGGGUUUCCCCCUCCCCAGAUUCCUAUGGGGUAUUUACCACACCCUACUCACACUGUUUCUAAUGAAGUAAAUAGCAUCAAACAAGUUAGAAUAGAUCCUAUAUCCAAAAGUUACCAAGCAAUAAAGACAUAUGAAAUAUUUUAGAAUAAAAAUAGCCCGCUGGAGCAUGUUUAGCUUUAAGAUAGCAAAUGCUUAUGCAUCUUAAGGACAGUUUGAUGCAAGCUCAAGCAUGAAUGAAAUUUAUGCAGAUCAGAACUGCACAAAAAGUGUUUUGGAGUUCGUAGAUUAGGUGUACCUUAAACUCUAACCAUACAGAAAGCCUGCAGUAGAUGUUAAAAGAAAUCUAAAACUAAGCGCUAAAUAUUAUGGACCUUACAAGAUCUUACAGAAAAUAAGAACAGUAGCAUACCGUUUGGAGCUCCCUCAGGAUCUCAGAUACAUCUAUAGUUCCACGUCUCUCAAUUGAAGAAGAGAGUAGGUCCUACCAUUAGUGUGCAGCAACCGUUGCCUGUGUGUGACUCAGGUGGUCGAAUCUUGAUCUAACCUGUGGAAAUCUUGAGAAGACGACUAGUGAAGGUCAAUAAUGCUGCAAGGGUCAAGGUAUUGGUGUACUGGGAAAAGUUUGACCAAAUAGAGGUAACGUGUGAGGAUUGGGGUUACAUUAAAAGUCAAUUUCUGGAUUUUGUUGCUGGGCUUCAACCUUGAGGACAAGGUAGGUUUCAAUCGGGAAGGUGUUGUAAUGAAUGAGGGUUUGGGGUAGCGUUGAGAAGGAUAAUAGAUGAAUUAGAAAAAGGGCGUGGGCAGCUGAUACACAUGGCAGCUUAUUAGGGAAUAAAGAUCUACAGCUGGAGAUCAACAUAAUUAAUAGGAAGAUGGAGAUUCAAGGAAGAUUAAUAAAGAUUAAAGGCCAAGAUUAUUCCACACUCUAACUAAAUACCGUUAGGGGCAACUAGCUGGGCAGUUAUGAUCUGUAUUUCCAACUUUCUCUUCUCUCUUUGUUUCUCUCUUCUCUUCUAUCUUACAGUCUCAAUUCUCUUUCAGGUACAAUCCACCAU
This 13265-nucleotide long non-coding RNA is filed under the name Nicotiana benthamiana. RNAcentral describes it as "long non-coding RNA (NBEN_LNC036857)". The record is from RNAcentral. Lineage: Eukaryota; Viridiplantae; Streptophyta; Magnoliopsida; Solanales; Solanaceae.